Molecule: ribosomal RNA, 395 nt
Filed under: uncultured bacterium
Lineage: Bacteria
Description: bacterial SSU rRNA
Rfam family: Bacterial small subunit ribosomal RNA
Source: RNAcentral
GUGCCAGCAGCCGCGGUAAUACGUAGGUGGCAAGCGUUGUCCGGAUUUACUGGGCGUAAAGAGCGCGCAGGCGGUCGAAUAAGUCGAAUGUGAAAGCCCCCGGCUCAACUGGGGAGGGUCAUUCGAUACUGUUCGACUUGAAGGCAGGAGAGAGAAGCAGAAUUCCCGGUGUAGUGGUGAAAUGCGUAGAUAUCGGGAGGAAUACCAGUGGCGAAGGCGGCUUCUUGGCCUGUUCUUGACGCUGAGGCGCGAAAGCUGGGGGAGCAAACGGGAUUAGAUACCCCGGUAGUCCCAGCCGUAAACGAUGGACACUAGGUGUUGGUGGUAUCAACCCCGCCAGUGCCGUAGCUAACGCAUUAAGUGUCCCGCCUGGGGAGUACGGCCGCAAGGCUAAA